AGACAGUCUACCAAGAUCUGCAACAAGAACGUCAGUAGUUUUUGUACUGUGAGGUAUGAGUAUAAUUGGUGAGCCAGCUUCAACAUCAAACAAUAUCCGGGGUUGGUGAAAGGCUUCUUCAUUGAUCUGAAAUAAUGAUUCAUAUAGCACCCUUUUUAUGAUAAACGCAUUCAAAGGUGCUUUACAUAGUGCAAACGCAGCCACACAGGGCGCGAAAUUCGUCCUCUACUAGUACAGACACAGAGUGAUCUGACCAGAGGGACAGAGUGAGACAUAGCCCCCAGAACAGAGAGAGAAAUUUGAGAUGUUGUGCAGAAAAACAUUUGGGCAUACCAUUUUUUUACCAUGUACCAACAGUGUAGGAUAUAUGGCAAACAGGACUAAAAAUAUUGGUGAUGCUUUGUCCACUAAGAGAACUGAGAUGUGAACAAGAUUUUCUCCUGAAAGCUCGUCGUGAGAGUACCUACGUGAAAAAUGGGGUGUUGGAGGAGGCGUGCUUGGACUGGCCCUGAAAUAUAGAAUAAU
Mercenaria mercenaria is the source of this 525-nucleotide long non-coding RNA. RefSeq lists it as uncharacterized. The transcript is spliced from 4 exons. Lineage: Eukaryota; Metazoa; Mollusca; Bivalvia; Venerida; Veneridae. The record is from RefSeq and is a predicted model, not a curated record.